RNAcentral lists this long non-coding RNA (481 nucleotides) under Physcomitrium patens. RNAcentral describes it as "long non-coding RNA (PPAT_LNC003642)". The record is from RNAcentral. Lineage: Eukaryota; Viridiplantae; Streptophyta; Bryopsida; Funariales; Funariaceae.
GGCACCACAAUUACUUAUAAUCUUAAUGAAGAACAAUAUUGUUUUUUCUAAGGCUAGGCUAUGGACCUCAAUACUUUGAUAUGGAUUUUUGGAAUAUAUCUUAUUGUUUAGAAUCUUUUUUAUGACCAUAUUAGUAUUCAAAGGUUAGUGAACAAUGGUCAAGGAGUAGUCGAUCCUAAAUUUACUAAAGUUAAAAAAUAUAAGUCAUUUCUUUGCUUAUAAAGGUAUGCAAUAGAUGAGCUACAAGCUCAAGAUGUCUUUGAAAUUUUAGCUAAAUAUUUAGAAAAAAUAAAUGCUCAAGAAACUUUUUCAUGGAAUUUCUUUUGAAAGACACUCCAUGUUCUAUCAAUAUUUCUAAUUCACACAAAUAUCAUAGUAAUAAAGCUCUUUAUUUAAUUAAAAAUGAGGUUGUUAGAAGCAUAGGAAUUAUUUCUUUAAAAAAUUAGUAAUUAAAAGCAGUGCCAGCAUAUAGUGGUGCUUU